This 292-nucleotide ribosomal RNA is filed under the name uncultured bacterium. RNAcentral's name for it is "partial 16S ribosomal RNA". It matches the Rfam family "Bacterial small subunit ribosomal RNA", at positions 505 to 796 of the family's 1533-position model. The record is from RNAcentral.
GUGUCAGCAGCCGCGGUAAGACGAACCUUGCUAACGUUAUUCGGAAUUACUGGGCUUAAAGGGUGCGUAGGCGGCGGAGUAAGUCGGGUGUGAAAUCCCUCAGCUCAACUGAGGAAUUGCGCCCGAAACUACUUUGCUAGAGGAAGAUAGGGGUACGCGGAACUUAGGGUGGAGCGGUGAAAUGCGUUGAUAUCCUAAGGAACACCGGUGGCGUAAGCGGCGUACUGGGUCUUUUCUGACGCUGAGGCACGAAAGCUAGGGGAGCGAACGGGAUUAGAUACCCCCGUAGUCC